This 71-nucleotide transfer RNA is filed under the name Schistosoma turkestanicum. Its description in RNAcentral is "tRNA-Glu". Lineage: Eukaryota; Metazoa; Platyhelminthes; Trematoda; Strigeidida; Schistosomatidae. The record is from RNAcentral.
AGCCAAUCAGGUGUUUUAGCAUUUUGGUUUUUCGUAUCAAAGGAGUCGUGUUAGUAGACGAUUGGUAAAUU